Molecule: ribosomal RNA, 253 nt
Filed under: uncultured bacterium
Lineage: Bacteria
Description: partial 16S ribosomal RNA
Rfam family: Bacterial small subunit ribosomal RNA
Source: RNAcentral
UACGAAAGGGGCUAGCGUUGUUCGGAAUUACUGGGCGUAAAGCGCACGUAGGCGGACUUGUAAGAUGGGGGUGAAAUCCCCGGGCUCAACCCGGGAACUGCCUUCAUGACUGCAAAGCUAGAGGAUGCGAGAGGUUAGCGGAAUUCCGAGUGUAGAGGUGAAAUUCGUAGAUAUUCGGAAGAACACCAGUGGCGAAGGCGGCUAACUGGCGUAUGUCUGACGCUGAGGUGCGAAAGCGUGGGGAGCAAACAGG